RNAcentral lists this ribosomal RNA (484 nucleotides) under uncultured bacterium. RNAcentral's name for it is "partial 16S ribosomal RNA". It matches the Rfam family "Bacterial small subunit ribosomal RNA", at positions 29 to 507 of the family's 1533-position model. The record is from RNAcentral.
AUUGAACGCUGGCGGAAUGCUUUACACAUGCAAGUCGAGCGGCAGCGCGGCCUUCGGGCUGGCGGCGAGCGGCGAACGGGUGAGUAAUGCAUCGGAACAUGCCCAGUCGUGGGGGAUAACACUUCGAAAGAAGUGCUAAUACCGCAUACGUCCUGAGGGGGAAAGCGGGGGAUCGCAAGACCUCGCGCGAUUGGAGUGGCCGAUGUCAGAUUAGCUAGUUGGUGGGGUAAAGGCCUACCAAGGCGACGAUCUGUAGCUGGUCUGAGAGGAUGAUCAGCCACACUGGGACUGAGACACGGCCCAGACUCCUACGGGAGGCAGCAGUGGGGAAUUUUGGACAAUGGGGGCAACCAUGAUCCAGCCAUUCCGCGUGAGUGAAGAAGGCCUUCGGGUUGUAAAGCUCUUUCGGCAGGAACGAAACGGUGGGCUCUAACAUAGUCCGCUAAUGACGGUACCUGAAGAAGAAGCACCGGCUAACUACGUG